This 494-nucleotide ribosomal RNA is filed under the name uncultured bacterium. Its description in RNAcentral is "partial 16S ribosomal RNA". It matches the Rfam family "Bacterial small subunit ribosomal RNA", at positions 28 to 507 of the family's 1533-position model. The record is from RNAcentral.
GACGAACGCUGGCGGCGCGCUUAACACAUGCAAGUCGAACGGAAAGGCCUGCUUUCCCUUGUGGAUUGCGGGUACUCGAGUGGCGAACGGGUGAGUAACACGUGAGUGAUCUGCCCCCAACUUGGGUAUAAGCCUGGGAAACUGGGUCUAAUUCCCGAUAGGACUGCAGGGUGGUGCCUGUGGUGGAAAACGAUUUUCUAGUGGUUGGGGAUGAGCUCGCGGCCCAUCAGCUUGUUGGUGGGGUAAUGGCCUACCAAGGCGGCGACGGGUAGCCGGCCUGAGAGGGUGGACGGCCACAUUGGGACUGAGAUACGGCCCAGACGCCUACGGGAGGCAGCAGUGGGGAAUAUUGCACAAUGGGCGGAAGCCUGAUGCAGCGACGCCGCGUGGGGGAUGACGGCCUUCGGGUUGUAAACUCCUUUCGACCGCGAGGAAGCCACCUGGUUGGAAGGGUGGUGACGGUAGUGGUAGAAGAAGCACCGGCUAACUACGUG